UCUAUAAAAGUUAAAUGUAGUUUGUUUAAUGGGUAUUAAUUUGGCAUAGUAAAUGAAAAGAUUUUAUGUUAAUUUGGCUUUGGUUAUUAUAUAAGUUGUUAUCAAGUUUAUACAUGCUAGAUUUGAAUAUUGAUCGGUUUAUUUGAAAUUUAUUAUUUAUAUAAUAGUUUAAUAUUUUAUAUAAUUAGUAUGAUUAUAUUAGUAUAGUAUUAAGAUAUAAUGAGUAAAUUACGCAGUAUUUAUUUUUAUACAAUGAAUGAAAGUUUGAUAUAGUUAAUGUAAUUUAAAGGUGGUUAAAUUGGUGCCAGCAUCUGCGGUUAUACCAAUACUUUGAAUUUAUAUUUAAAUAGUGUAAAAUAAAGUAAUAAAAUUAAUAUUAUUAUUAGAAUUAAUGAGUAUAUAGAUUGUAGGUAAAAUUUAAUCUGUAUAAUUAAUUAUACUGUUCUAAAUUAAUAGGUUCUUUGAAAAUAAGGUUUAAGUAGACUAGGAUUAGAGACCCUAUUAUUCUUUAUUUUAAAAAUUUUAUUAUUUAAGUAGUAAGAGUUAUUAGCAAAUAUUUUAUUUAAUUUAAUUUUGUACUUGAAACUUAAAAGGCUUGGCGGUGUCAUAUAUCCUUCCAGGGGAGCUUGCUUAUUAAUUUGAUAUUCCUCAAUUUAUACUUACUUUCUUUUGAAUUAUAAAAAAUUGUCAGUUUGUGUAUUGCUGUCGUCAGUUUAUUUUGUAAAAAUUUUAGAAAAAACUUUGUAAUGAUUAGAUUAUGAUGUCAAGUCAAAAUGCAGCUUAUAAGAAAGGUUUAUAAAGUGAGCUACAGUUUGUUAUAUUUAAUCUGAUUAAACUAUGUAAUUAGUUUAUGAAGUUGGACUUGGUAGUAAUAAAAGUAUAAAUAGUGUGUUUUUAUGAAUUGGGUUUUGUGAUGCGUACAUAUCGCCCGUCGCUCUUGUUGGAAGAUAAGAUAAGUCGUAACAUAGUAGGGGUAGUGGAAGCUGUUCCUGGGUUAAUAAUUAU
This 1005-nucleotide non-coding RNA is filed under the name Uroteuthis edulis (swordtip squid). RNAcentral's name for it is "12S ribosomal RNA". The stretch from base 571 to 992 matches the Rfam family "Microsporidia small subunit ribosomal RNA", at positions 752 to 1303 of the family's 1311-position model. Lineage: Eukaryota; Metazoa; Mollusca; Cephalopoda; Myopsida; Loliginidae. The record is from RNAcentral.